Molecule: ribosomal RNA, 301 nt
Filed under: uncultured bacterium
Lineage: Bacteria
Description: partial 16S ribosomal RNA
Rfam family: Bacterial small subunit ribosomal RNA
Source: RNAcentral
CAGCCGCCGCGGGAAUACGUAGGGUGCGAGCGCUAAUCGGAAUUACUGGGCGUAAAGCGUGCGCAGGCGGUUGUGUAAGACAGGUGUGAAAUCCCCGGGCUUAACCUGGGAACUGCGCUUGUGACUGCACAGCUAGAGUAUGGCAGAGGGGGGUGGAAUUCCACGUGUAGCAGUGAAAUGCGUAGAGAUGUGGAGGAACACCGAUGGCGAAGGCAGCCCCCUGGGCCAAUACUGACGCUCAUGCACGAAAGCGUGGGGAGCAAACAGGAUUAGAUACCCCAGUAGUCCCUGUCUUUUAUAA